CGUCUAGGCGGAUGGGCAAGCGCGAUGUGAAAGCUCCUGGCUCAACUGGGAGAGUGCGUAGCGAACUGCCCGACUAGAGGCCAGGCGAUGGGGGUGGAAUUCCCGGUGGAGUGGUGAAAUGCGUAGAGAUCGGGAGGAACACCAGUGGCGCAAGCGGCCCCCAAGCCUGAGCCUGACGCUGAAGCGCGACAGCGUGGGGAGCAAACG
RNAcentral lists this ribosomal RNA (207 nucleotides) under uncultured bacterium. RNAcentral's name for it is "partial 16S ribosomal RNA". It matches the Rfam family "Bacterial small subunit ribosomal RNA", at positions 568 to 774 of the family's 1533-position model. The record is from RNAcentral.